ACGACGCUGGCGGCGUGCUUAACACAUGCAAGUCGGAACGGUGAAGGGGCCCUGCUUUUGUGGGUCCUGGAUGAGUGGCGAACGGGUGAGUAACACGUGAGUAACCUGCCCCCUUCUUCUGGAUAACCGCAUGAAAGUGUGGCUAAUACGGGAUAUUCUGUGCCUGCUGCAUGGUGGGUGUGGGAAAGAUAUUGCUUCGGUGGGGGAUGGGCUCGCGGCCUAUCAGCUUGUUGGUGGGGUGAUGGCCUACCAAGGCGGUGACGGGUAGCCGGCCUGAGAGGGUGGACGGUCACACUGGGACUGAGACACGGCCCAGACUCCUACGGGAGGCAGCAGUGGGGAAUAUUGCACAAUGGGCGCAAGCCUGAUGCAGCGACGCCGCGUGAGGGAUGGAGGCCUUCGGGUUGUGAACCUCUUUCGCCAGUGAAGCAGGCCUGCUCCUUGGUGGGUGGGUUGACGGUAGCUGGAUAAGAAGCGGCCGGCUAACUACGUG
RNAcentral lists this ribosomal RNA (493 nucleotides) under uncultured Actinomyces sp. RNAcentral's name for it is "bacterial SSU rRNA". It matches the Rfam family "Bacterial small subunit ribosomal RNA", at positions 33 to 507 of the family's 1533-position model. The record is from RNAcentral. Lineage: Bacteria; Bacillati; Actinomycetota; Actinomycetes; Actinomycetales; Actinomycetaceae.